CAUUAACUGAAUCCAUAGGUUAAUGAGGCGAACCGGGGGAACUGAAACAUCUAAGUACCCCGAGGAAAAGAAAUCAACCGAGAUUCCCCCAGUAGCGGCGAGCGAACGGGGAGGAGCCCAGAGCCUGAAUCAGCAUGUGUGUUAGUGGAAGCGUCUGGAAAGGCGCGCGAUACAGGGUGACAGCCCCGUACACAAAAGCGCAUGUGCUGUGAGCUCGAUGAGUAGGGCGGGACACGUGGUAUCCUGUCUGAAUAUGGGGGGACCAUCCUCCAAGGCUAAAUACUCCUGACUGACCGAUAGUGAACCAGUACCGUGAGGGAAAGGCGAAAAGAACCCCGGCGAGGGGAGUGAAAAAGAACCUGAAACCGUGUACGUACAAGCAGUGGGAGCACCCUUUGGGUGUGACUGCGUACCUUUUGUAUAAUGGGUCAGCGACUUAUAUUCUGUAGCAAGGUUAACCGAAUAGGGGAGCCGGAGGGAAACCGAGUCUUAACCGGGCGUUAAGUUGCAGGGUAUAGACCCGAAACCCGGUGAUCUAGCCAUGGGCAGGUUGAAGGUUGGGUAACACUAACUGGAGGACCGAACCGACUAAUGUUGAAAAAUUAGCGGAUGACCUGUGGCUGGGGGUGAAAGGCCAAUCAAACCGGGAGAUAGCUGGUUCUCCCCGAAAGCUAUUUAGGUAGCGCCUCGUGAAUUCAUCUCCGGGGGUAGAGCACUGUUUCGGCUAGGGGGCCAUCCCGGCUUACCAACCCGAUGCAAACUGCGAAUACCGGAGAAUGUUAUCACGGGAGACACACGGCGGGUGCUAACGUCCGUCGUGAAGAGGGAAACAACCCAGACCGCCAGCUAAGGUCCCAAAGUCAUGGUUAAGUGGGAAACGAUGUGGGAAGGCCCAGACAGCCAGGAUGUUGGCUUAGAAGCAGCCAUCAUUUAAAGAAAGCGUAAUAGCUCACUGGUCGAGUCGGCCUGCGCGGAAGAUGUAACGGGGCUAAACCAUGCACCGAAGCUGCGGCAGCGACACUGUGUGUUGUUGGGUAGGGGAGCGUUCUGUAAGCCUGUGAAGGUGUGUCGUGAGGCAUGCUGGAGGUAUCAGAAGUGCGAAUGCUGACAUAAGUAACGAUAAAGCGGGUGAAAAGCCCGCUCGC
RNAcentral lists this ribosomal RNA (1145 nucleotides) under Salmonella enterica subsp. enterica serovar Enteritidis. RNAcentral describes it as "partial 23S ribosomal RNA". It matches the Rfam family "Bacterial large subunit ribosomal RNA", at positions 152 to 1337 of the family's 2925-position model. The record is from RNAcentral. Lineage: Bacteria; Pseudomonadati; Pseudomonadota; Gammaproteobacteria; Enterobacterales; Enterobacteriaceae.